Molecule: non-coding RNA, 2581 nt
Organism: Cyanistes caeruleus (blue tit)
Lineage: Eukaryota; Metazoa; Chordata; Aves; Passeriformes; Paridae
Source: RefSeq, a predicted model, not a curated record
CGAGCAUCAUCAGCGCCGCAGCCGCCCACAGCUCCAGCUGCACCAUGGCCCAACCACAUCCAGCCUGAAACACACGGGAUGGAGACACUGCAAUGUGCCAAAGGCCAGUACAUCAUUGCUCUGGCUGGCAGGAACCUUUCCUACUGCCUUCCUUCAACCUCUCUUGUUACAACUUCAGCCUGUAUUAUAUUGAGGAAGCCGCUGGGACCAGGGCACACCCCGAGCACCGUGAUCCCACAAAUCCCUCAGGAGCAGCUGCUCCAGACAAGCAAUUCCUGGGAGAGCAGCACACUGGAGUCUGGAUACAGCUGUGGUCUCCUUCAGAGGGGGAAGUUCAUCUUCUAAAACAGGGCCUGCUCCUUCUCUGGCCUCAAAUAGAUUCCUUUUUAGCAAUCAAGGAGACAGGCUUUUUCUUACUAAAAAAAAAUUAAUGAACUUGCAAAAGCUUAUCUACUCUGUGCCAGGUCUUGUCCUAAUUUAUGGAUUCACCCCAGUAACAAGGCUCUCUGUGAAGAUCUGAAGGAAGGAGAGAUGGUUUUAUCCUGGAAGAUUAAAAGGUCUGCUCUUAAUUCCACUGAAAUGGAGAGUAGGACGACAUGGACACUCACUGUCCAUCUGUCCAAGAGCAGCACAACAAAGUGAGGAAACCUUUUGAAUUGAAAUAAGGCAAUUCUGGCUUAUAAAAUCAGUGGAUAUAAGCUGGAUAUGCACAGGCUAGAAAUAAAAUUCCUAAUGGAUGGAAAGUCUGGAAUAAUUUCCCAAAAGCAGAAGAAGAGGCACAAAGCUCAUGAGAAAAAAACCUGCAAGAGCUCUUAAAGUGAACUUUAGCUUUUUGCUGAGACACGAGGAGAGUGAGGAAUGUGUUGAUGUGGCCUCAGCAAUGCCUGGUUUUCCAUGAGGUCAUUUCUGAUGAAGACAUUUUAGCCCUUUGCAGACAUCAAAUCCACCCCUGAGUUCACACUGCAAGAUAAAGACUAAAAUCAUGCAUUUAUAUUAUGCAUUCUAUCUAUCAAUCAAAAAAAAAUGCCCAAAAGGCAAAUAUAAACCAUUCACUUUCUCUCCCCUCCAGAAAGUUUUGUGGUCUGCACCAGUUUGCUGUAAAUUAAUUCUAAUUAAGGCUGGUAGGAUGAGUCACUGGUAUGAAAUAUGAAGUGGAAAGUGUAUUUAAAGACUCACCAUAUGAAAUUCAGCACACUGACUUGUUGAACAGAUGCAAUAUUCAGCUUGAGUCAAUGUCUCUAACACGGCUAAGAAAAGCAACUCCACUUUCUGUUUGCCUGUGUGGCACAGAUUGCCACAGAAAUUCCCAUCAAUUCAGAAAUUAAAGUCUCAGACCAAGGAAGCUCCUGUGGCUGGAAUGACUUUGAUGACCAGCACUGAGCCUUCAGAAAAGCUCCUUCCCAGAGGUCUGCACAUCUCAUUUCCUACCAGAUUUAUGCCAGUGUCAGGCUUCUCAGGAAAGCUGCUGCCAUUGAGUUAAAAUCUGGGUUUUUUACAGCUAUUCAGGCAGACCAGGCUUUUAUGCCAAUAGAAGCAUUUCAGUAGAACAGAUGAUGAAAGGGGAAGAUUAGAAUUGAUAAACCAACUUUCACAUAGAUUAUAACUCUGGAAAAUGCUUUUAAAAAAAAUCCUGGGUGGAAAAUAUGGUGCAAAACCCCAGUCACAACAGGCAUGGCAGCACAAGGAGGUGACUCACAGACGUAUCUUGUAUUUAGAACUUCCCUGUUUUGGGCAGCACUGAAGCUUCACAGCCUCAUUCACUUCCACUGGGAGCCCAGGGGAUGCCAUGUUAGCAAUACAGGCAACCCCUGUGUAAAUACAGGCUCCAGAACCACGAAAAUGAGCCAAUCUCAUGCAAGAUUCUCCAAAAAUUAUCCUCUUCUGCUAAAUUACCUGCCUCGUUGCCCAUAGUACACUGAACAUUGCUCACACGAGAGAAAACUGUUGCAAAACCAAAUCUCUCUCUAACUAGAAUUAGCUAUUUCAGGCACUUAGAUGCAGUAAAAUAAAUACAUUCACAUCCAUGAUGCCAGUCAGCUCUGCCAUCAAUGGAAAACCCAGGAAGUGUCGUUUCAAUCAGCUAUUUUUAAGGACUGGGCUUUGGAGGGGGAGCAGCGUGGGCUGCAGCAGUCCCAGGAGCUACAGCAGGAGCCAGAAGGACCAUGCAGGGAUGGGGGAAGCUCAGCACAGAUGGAAUCUUCCAGAAUAUUUUAGAAGAUGUGAAUGCAGAAAUAAUGUAAUGAAACCCACGCUUCCAGCAGCAGAUGGACGAGGAGAUGGAAAGGACAGUGGUGUAAAACAGAGGAUCCAGGCUGUGUGGGAUGGACCCAUCUCAGGCCCAGAGGGGUCUAAAGGCCCCUGAGAAGAGAGGGUUGGUAAUUCCUACCUUGGAGCUGGUGAUGGGCAGGAGCAGCAGGGAGGAGGGAACAUCCACCAAUGUCGCUUUUCAGAGAGGUUUUACAGGGGUGACCUUGAACUUCUUUAAAGGAUCACCAACCCUGGGGGUCUCUGAGCUCAGUGGGACACCCCGGUGUCCCCCCAGGAGCCCCAAGAACCUCUGGGCUCUUUCCUGUCCCCAUCC